Molecule: non-coding RNA, 76 nt
Organism: Potamilus streckersoni
Lineage: Eukaryota; Metazoa; Mollusca; Bivalvia; Unionida; Unionidae
Source: the annotation of a GenBank genome assembly
GCAGUAGCUUAGCUGGUAGAGCACAAGACUUGUAAUCCAAGGGAUGCUGGUUCAAUAUCCACCCAGACAAGCUGCU